Molecule: long non-coding RNA, 896 nt
Filed under: Limulus polyphemus (Atlantic horseshoe crab)
Lineage: Eukaryota; Metazoa; Arthropoda; Merostomata; Xiphosura; Limulidae
Description: uncharacterized LOC111085059, transcript variant X1
Source: RNAcentral
CAAGAUAAAUAAUUCAAUCAAGAGCGGUUUCUUCAAAUGUAUAUUAACUUUUUAACGUUUCACGGACUCAAGAAAACUUUUGCUGAGAGGCGGAAGAUAGUGUUUGGUGACAAAAGUAAGAAAACAGGAAUUGAUUAAAGUCAAGACGAAAACGCAGAAUGCUUGAUUUGGUAUUCCGCCCGUGGUAAAGUAAACAGUCUCCACGUCGGUUUUAAACAAGUUAGUAGCAGUUGAUGUAAGAUGGUCCAGUUCAGAAACAAGGAUUCAAACUCAUCACCUUUUCAUUGUGGCCUCAUCCAAUUCCACAUGACUCUGCAGUGCUGAGAAAUCUAGUUAAAAAGGCAAGGCUCCAUAAACAGGGUAUGUAAGUAGUAGGGGUUUGUCACGCGAAUUCUGAACUUUCAGAAUUUGAUGCAGAAUCUUCACAACCAUAGUUUAAUUUUGUUUUCUCCGUAAUGUGACUAAUUUCUUCUUCAGUAAUCUCUGUAUUGCUUAUAAUAAUUAUCUGGAGUUUGCUCGAUAGGUUUAUCAUUAUUGGUGUAUAUAUAAAUUGUUGUCAUAUUCAUGUCUAUAUCUUUUAACACAGGAUAAUUGAAACAUCCAUGAUGUUAUUAAACACCUCUUGUUAUACUAUUGUAAAUCAGCAAUAAUUAUAUUGUUUUUAUUGGGAAAUACGUGAUAUCUUCCAACAAUAAGUCAGGAAUUAUAUUGUUUUCUAUAAGAAAUACAUGAUAUCUUCCAACAAUAAGUCAGGAAUUAUAUUGUUUUCUAUAAGAAAUACACCAUAUCUUCUAACAAUAAGUCAGGAAUUAUAUUGUUUUCUAUAAGAAAUACAUGAUAUCUUCCAACAAUAACAGGAGUUAUAUUAUUUUCUAUUAGGAAAUACACAAGUCUUC